This 26-nucleotide ribosomal RNA is filed under the name Sophora flavescens. RNAcentral's name for it is "partial 26S ribosomal RNA". The record is from RNAcentral. Lineage: Eukaryota; Viridiplantae; Streptophyta; Magnoliopsida; Fabales; Fabaceae.
GACCUCACGUCAGGCGGGGCUACCCG